Non-coding RNA from Acanthosepion pharaonis, 114 nucleotides. The record is from the annotation of a GenBank genome assembly. Lineage: Eukaryota; Metazoa; Mollusca; Cephalopoda; Sepiida; Sepiidae.
UUAUGGCCAUAUCAAGUUGAAACACCGGUUGUCGCACGCUCGUCGAAGUUAAGCAACGUUGAGUCUGGUCAGUACCUAGAUGGGUGACCGCUUGGGAAUACCAUAUGCUGUAAG